Long non-coding RNA from Gallus gallus (chicken), 2071 nucleotides. Lineage: Eukaryota; Metazoa; Chordata; Aves; Galliformes; Phasianidae. The record is from Ensembl.
GCCGGCUCAUGGGUCUGGUUCGUUGCUUCCCAUACAGCCAGUAGGCCUGAACAUGCCUCAAAUUCUCCCUGAAGCAACACAAAACACACAUGAUCAUGCCAGCAAGAGAAGGAAAGGCAAUUGUACCCCACUGCAGCUGCUCACUGCUCCUGCCACAUUCCACAGGGACACCCGGGGAGCUUCAUCCCAGAGGUGUGCAGCUGGAUUCGUCCCAGACCUCACACAUCAGUAAUGGGCUUUCUCACAUCUGCUACCCAUAUCUGGACUAUUUGAGCCCCCAGACAGCUUCAAAAGUUAUAACGGUUGAACUCCACAGAUGAGAAAAUAGAAAGUGAAAAGAGAAGAGAGAACAAGUCAAAACAAUCAAUUCAAAGCAAGCUGCUUUUGAAAAGAUCAACAUUAAAUGUCUUCAGAAGACUUCAUCUCAAAGUUUUGACACAGGCAAACUCUAAAAUCCCGGAAUAUACAGCAGAAAAGAAGUCAGCAGCCUUUGUCAACAAGCAGCACAUAAAUGGGAAUUAUUUCAGUGGCAUCAAAAUUUUAACCUCUGUGACUGUGCCUUUCUAGGGAUAAUUUGAGUUGCUCACGGACCGGCACUUUUUUGUGUGCUCAUGCAAGGCCUCCUGUUCUUCCAGUUUCCCUUAUCAUGUCGGCUGCCACCAACCUUUCUGAUUGUAUCCUGAAGGAAUUUCUCAAUGCACUCUGAGUGUUUCACAUGGCUUUCUAUUGUUUUUUAUUUAGCAAUAGAGAAGAGUUUUGUUGCACAAGACUUCUCUAUUGAUGUGUAAACAUUGAUAGCUGCUGAAAAAACAGUGCCUGGUCUGGCACAGGGAAAGUCCUUUCAGUCUGGCUGUAUAUCACAAAUAAGAGGAUGUUCACUGGGCAGAUUUAGCUGAUGUUUUAUUUUCCUCUAAAUAUCCUCCUAAUAACAGCACCUUUUAAGUGACUUCAGAAAGAAAUAAUGCUCAGUGCAAAGAGCCAAGGAUAAUAAAGUUGUGAGAAACGUGUUUGUACAGCACAAUGAAAUCUCUGCCGGAUUACAAACUAAGUGAUUCCCUAGAAACACCUACAAUAAACAACGUUGGGUGUGAAUAGCUCUUUCUAUAACACCCAGCAGUCUGCAGAAUUAAGAAGGUAUCACUGUGUAGCCCAUAUUUAAAUAUACAUAUAUGGAGUGAGAAAGUUUACAAAAGAAAUGAGUGAUUUUAUGAGGAAAUGAUUGCAAACACAAAAGACAGAGACCUACAGACACUUAAAACAUGGUAUCCUAUAGGGUAACCAAUACACUGACAUGGUAUCAGAAAAAGAAGUUAGACAUUAUGAGUUUAGCAUAUGCCCAAAAUAUAUGAGGGGGAAAAUGGGUGUUUGAUACAUAGUGCAAAAAAGUUCUGAACAAUGCACUCUGUGCUGCAUUUCUCUGCAAGAUAGCAGCUACUUCAAUGAAGCUUUCCAAAAAUGUUGAAACAGGUACAGCUUUUACUGCACUAUUUAAUGCUGAGAGAAUCAUUUGUGGCUGUGGCAUGUGAAAUAACUGGAAUAUUUGUGCCACUGAAACAUGGUCAGUGUUCUGCUACUAAAAACAGUUAUAUUUUAUUAGAAACUCGCUGGUAAUAGAAUGAUCAGUGAGCUGUGAACGCGUGUGUAAAUAAUGAACUCAGAGUGCACAGCACUUCCAAUUUCAGGAAAUAAAUCAUAUUCUGAGUUAUUUAAUUAAAUGGAAGUAUGUACGAACCCUCUGUCUGUAAAGUAAUUUCAUUUGGUAUUUGAGAAAGUUUUCACAACAGUAAUUAUUUUAGAUACGCAGAAUACGUACUCUGAGAAAUGUGGGUUAUUUGGUGAAGAAAACCCCCACAGAAAAUUGCAUACUUUGAAGACUAUGCUUCUUACAAAAAAAUAACACAAUAAAAUCUGGGGAAAAAAAAAGACCACUCGAGGAAUGUGGGGCCAUUCUGAAAGUGAGGGGAGCAGCCCCUCUACCAGCUCUGCCCCCAGGGCACGCAGCACCUGCUACCCCUCAGUGGUGGCGUCCACCCGCUCAAUCUCAGCCUGGAGCCCAGCAAGGGCAGAGCCU